GUUACCUUAGGAGCCCUCCGGACCGGCGCCAACUGUACCGUGCGAUUAACUCAAGAGUGCAAGCAAGCAAGGCCGUUAGAAAGGGGCGUCUUCUCUCCUCCCAGUGGCUUCCCGCGGGACGCGCCGUGAUGACGUAGUAUUCAUGAACUAAAGCAACUGAAGCCUCUCAGCAUUGCCGACCCACAGUGAGCACUCAGUCAAAGGCGCUGCUUGCUGUUAGGAGCCGUUGGGAAGCCUGAGCCAUGGAGCCUGGCUAACCCUGUGCCAUCAGCUGUGUGGCCUCGGGUGAGCCACUUAACCUGUCUGGCUUAGGAUGUCACCUGACUGGGUGACUGUUUCUGUGGAAGCGUUUGUUAAAUGGAAGUACAGAUGCCACUCUGGGGGGAGCAGUUUACCCAGGGCUGCAGGCUGAGCUGGGCUGAAAGAGAUAAGAGAUGAGUGACAGGAAGGCCCAUGGACAACCUCAUGGUCCCAUACUGGCCUUCUGACCUUCUUGACAGCUACCAUUCCUGCCCCACCCCUUCCUCCCUUUCCUGUCCUCAGCAUGUCUAAUGUCCCUUGGAAGAGGGUCCCUAGCUUACACCAACUGAAACUAUACAUGUUAACACUUCAAUAAAUAUGUGUACACAGGGCUGCUCCCAUUGUCAGCCACUUAGAGACACUGACAUGGCCCACACCACACAAUACGCUCACAUACACACACAGACUUGCACAGAAAUACUUUCAUCACCAGACCCACAGAGACAUCCUGACACGCAGACCCUCACGGUCACACUGUUAUGCCUCACACACUGUCACACAGUAGUUCUUGUUCAACUUUCCAAAAUGUGUAUGGAUCCACUUCUGUGCCCAGUGCAUAUGCUGUCGUGCUGUCUCAAAGGUCACCCCGAGUGGUGCACAACCCCAUGUGUUUCCUCAGCACACGCUGUCACGGGCACACCUCCACGUCUGCUCACACAGUCACCCGUGCCUGGCCUCUUGCAGGCAUCUGGAGUCACGCACAUCGUCUCAUACAGCCUCAUCCCUACUGCCCGCUGCACACCAGCUCUCACCACGACGUGUGGCUGCAUGUGCUGUCUCAUACAACCUGGACGCCGUCACACGCGGUGUCACAUAUUCUGUCACAAUCGUGAAGCGUUGCGUGCCAUCUCACAUGGUCAUACACGGCAGCCACACACUGUCAUCAAAGAAUCACGGACACUGAUACACAACCCCCCACCACUGUUCUUUAUUUAGUCCCACACAGACUCACACAUUCAGUUUCAGGACUCUGGUGGUUUUAUUUUACAAAAGCUUUGAAUGUCCACGCCAAGGCUUGUCUGGGGCCCAGAGGGUUGGGUUGGACAGACAUCUGGCUACAAGAGGGGAGGGACACCAACCCCUGCCCUGAGGCCAUGCUCUGUGCCCUCAUGAGCUGAGUGGGGCCACCACAGUGGUGGUGGUGGGAGGCAUGGGGCCUGUGGGGAAGGAGCCUGUGGGUGAGCCCAACAGGGGCCCUGGGAAAGGCAUGAGGUGGCUAACAGGCCCUGACAGCACCACGGGGCCCAGGCCUUGGUAGAGGUGGGCAGUGCCAGGUGGGCCCAAUGUCAAGCCUGAGGCCACCUCCCCACAAUUCCCACUACUGCUGCCCCCAGCCACCACCAUGAAGCUGCCAGCUGGCCCUUCAGCUGCUCCUGUACCUCCUAGACUCGAUCCCCGUUUCUUUUUUCCUUUUCCAGAUGCCUUGCGGUUUCGAGUCUGGAUACCAUCCUUCCGCAUGGUCAGUGGUCGGUUCACCUGCCAAGAGGGAGGCCAUGGGUGUUUCCCAACUCCACAUCUUGCCUCUACGUCUCCUCCAGGGAUGCUCUCUCCACCCCACUUCUUAAGAAUAGGGAAUUGGUUCAAGGACUAGGGAGUGCGCCCCUGGUGUGGCACAGAAUGGCAGCUCCACAAACAUAGAUGUGCUUAUCUCUUCUGUUCAACACUGUGUCUCCAAUGCCUGGAACAGGGCCAAGCACGCAGUAGGUGCUCAAUGAGCUGAGCCUCAGUUGAGAUGAGUCUGAAUGUACCAGAUCCAAAGGUAGAAAGUGCCACAUUCCCCGGGGAUGAGACCAGCUAAGGCGCUCCAGGACGAGUGGUUGAGAAUCCGCCUGCCAAUGCAGGGGACAUGGGUUCGAUCUCUGGUCUGGGAAGAUCCUCCUAAGCCUGUACUCCACAACUACUGAGGCUGUGCUCUAGAGUCUGCGAGCCACAACGACUGAGCCCGUGUGCUGCAACUACUGAAGCCUGCAUGCCUAGAGCCCGUGCUCCGCAACAAGAGAAGCCACCACAAUGAGAAGCCCACGCGCUGCAACGAAGACCCAACACAGCCAAAAAUAAAUAAAAUAAGUUUAUUUUAAAAAAAUACAUUUGCUUACAGGGAAAAAUGAUGUCAAUAAAAAUAGUGAAUAAACAAUUGUGCAUAGAUCUUA
Molecule: long non-coding RNA, 2450 nt
Organism: Orcinus orca (killer whale)
Lineage: Eukaryota; Metazoa; Chordata; Mammalia; Artiodactyla; Delphinidae
Exons: 6
Source: RefSeq, a predicted model, not a curated record